CACACACACACACACACACACACACACACACACACACACACACACACACACACACUGGACACACACACACACACACUGAAACACACACACACUGGACACAGCACACACACACUAGGCACACACACACACACUGGCCACCCACACACACUGGACAAACACCCAUACACACACACACUCACUCAAACGGACAUACAAACACACUGGAAACACACUGGACACACACACACACACUGGACACACACACACACACUGGACACACACACACACUGGACACACACAAACACACUGGACACACACACACACACACACACACACACACACACACACUGGACCCACUAGAUACACACACACACUCACUGGACACACACACUCACUGGACACACACACUCACUGGACACACACUGACACACACACUGACACACACACGCUUGACACACACACGCUUGAUACACACACACAAACACACUGGAUACACACACACAAACACACUGGAUACAGAUACACACACACACACACACACACACACACACACUGGAUACACACACACACACACACACACUGGAUACACACACACACACACACACUGGAUACACACACACAAACACACACUGGACACACACACACACACUGACACACAUACACACUGAAACACACACAAUUGACAAACACACACUGGAAGAUGACACGUGUUAAAUCAGUUUCUGGACCACAGGUUCUAGAACAGCUUCUAUCCCAGUUCUAUCUGCCUGUUAAAUCAGUUUCUGGACCACAGGUACUAGAACAGCUUCUAUCCCAGUUCUAUCUGCCUGUUAAAUCAGUUUCUGGACCACAGGUUCUAGAACAGCUUCUAUCCCAGUUCUAUCUGCCUGUUAAAUCAGUUUCUGGACCACAGGUACUAGAACAGCUUCUAUCCCAGUUCUAUCUGCCUGUUAAAUCAGUUUCUGGACCACAGGUUCUAGAACAGCUUCUAUCCCAGUUCUAUCUGCCUGUUAAAUCAGUUUCUGGACCACAGGUUCUAGAACAGCUUCUAUCCCAGUUCUAUCUGCCUGUUAAAUCAGUUUCUGGACCACAGGUUCUAGAACAGCUUCUAUCCCAGUUCUAUCUGCCUGUUAAAUCAGUUUCUGGACCACAGGUUCUAGAACAGCUUCUAUCCCAGUUCUAUCUGCCUGUUAAAUCAGUUUCUGGACCACAGGUUCUAGAACAGCUUCUAUCCCAGUUCUAUCUGCCUGUUAAAUCAUCAACCUAGAAAAAGAAACGCACACCUUUAAAGGCGAGGUGCUGGCUAGCGGAGUAGAACACUAGAAAAUAAAGGAUAAGUUCAAGGAGAGGGGGUACAACAAUGAUCAGAUUAAUACUGCCAUUGAGAAAAUUCAAAACAAAACGAGACAUGACCUUUUUCAAGGUCAGUCUCGCAAAAAGACGCAUUCUUGCGUUCUCACUACCCGCUACUCAAAGUGCUCUGAACAAAUUAAAGGAAUCGUUCACAAACAUUGGCACAUUCUGAAAUAUGAUGAUAGUCUCGUUAAUGUGUUUUCUGACCUUCCCCUGGUCGUAUUCUCGCGGGGAAGAAAUCUCAGAGACCAAUUGGUACACUCUGAUUUACCACCCCAAGAUAUUCCUGAACAACGUCUAUUUGCGCCCAUACUGGAUGGAAAUUACAAGUGUAAUGGCUGUGCUCAAUGUAAUGGCACUUAUAAAUGUAGAUCCUUCAAACACCCCCAAACAGGGAAAUCUAUCCCAAUUAAAGGUGUUAUUACGUGUUCCACUAAGGCAGUUAUUUAUCUUAUCCUUGUCCUUGUGGUAAAAAUUAUGUGGGUAAAACAAAGCGUGAAUUAAAAGUACGUAUCUCAGAGCAUCGUAGCACCAUUAGGUGCAAAAACUUAACUUACCCAGUUGCGGCCCACUUUUGGAAGCAAACCAUCCGAUUUCGUCUCUGCGUUAUAUUGGUAUUGAACAUGUCACCCUCCCGAGGAGAGGGGUGACCUUGAUAAUUUAUUGUUGAAACGAGAGGCUGCCUGGAUCUUUAAUUUAAAGACCCUUGCUCCCUUCGGUCUCAACAUAGACUUUGAUCUGAAGCCAUUCUUGUGAUUAUUGUGAUUUUGCCAUUGUAAUUGUUUGUUAGAUACAUUUUAGACUACAAAUGCUAUGAUCGUAUGCUAUCCAUUUGUUUGUCUUUUGUAUGUUCUUUGUAUGCCAUUUUUUUUAAAUAUUUGAGUUAACCAAUGAUAUUAGGCCAUACUUGGCCAUGAUUACAAACACCUGUGUGUCUCUUGACACUAUAUAAAUGACUCAUCUCGCAGUGUUUGAUGAUACCCUGAUGAAGACAGCUUCGCUGUCGAAACGUUGGUGAUUAAAUUUUUGCAUCUGAGCUCUUAAGAGUGUGCGUUUCUUUUUUCUAGAAGAUACUCUACACCACCAUUAUUUAGGGAGGUCACAUUGUAGAUACACUACACCACCAUUAUUUAGGGAGGGUAACAUUGUAGAUACUCUACACCACCAUUAUUUAGGGAGGUCACAUUGUAGAUACUCUACACCACCAUCUAGAAUACAGUAGGACCUCUUUCCAUUUGUCCUAUUGAAACACACAGAAAACUAUAGUAUUUAGCCUAAAGCAGCAUAUGAUUUUACAGUAGACUAUAGAUGUAGGCUACUGUAUAGUCACAUGGCUCAGUGUUAAAAUGUUAGAGCAGCCCAUUGGUCUGAACAAAUCCUCUUAGUGAAUGUCCCUUAUUGAGAAAGAAUUAUCAAAAUGUAGGAGAAUACUGUAUUUUGAAAUGCAAAUACUAUUGAGUCUGUAGACAAAUUGAAAUGUUGAUUCGGUCAGUGGAUCUGCGUGAGGGAUGCAUCAAAUGAAUUAAGGCAUUUUGGAGGGGUUGAAUGUUGCACCAUUGAUAAAGCAGAUCAACUGAGCUAGGGUUAGAGUAAGGAAGAAAACUACAAAAUGGCGCCAUAUUUGUAGUUCACAACUCUUCUGGUUUCUGUAACAAUGUCAGUUGUUGUCUUAAGCCUGACUAACCGAUGUCUUUAUAUAGCCUUGCUACUCUUAUUUUCAAAUGUAUUUUUACUGUUGUUUUAUUUCUUUACUUACACACACACACACACACACACACACACACACAUGCCUUUUUUUUCGCACUAUUGGUUAGAGCCUGUAAGUGAGCAUUUCACUCUAAGGUCUGUUGCAUUCGGCACACGUGACAAAUAAACUUUGAUUUGAUUUGAGACCUAUUUAUUAACAUAAAGUCCACCACUGUAAGAGUCCUCAGUUGUAGUGAGAACAUUGUGUCAUAUGUUUAAGGGGGGUUUCAUGACUGUGAUUCCAAAAUGUUCCAAUGCUGAGGAACUGUGUGUCAUUUUUUUCCCAGUACGGGAAAAUAAAAAUGUAUGAAAUGUAUGCAUUCACUACUGUAAGUCGCUCUGGAUAAGAGCGUCUGCUAAAUGACUAAAAUGUAAAUGUAAAACUGGAAUGGUUUGAAUACACCUGGGCUUUCUGUGAAGAACUACAA
Molecule: long non-coding RNA, 3506 nt
Filed under: Salmo salar (Atlantic salmon)
Lineage: Eukaryota; Metazoa; Chordata; Actinopteri; Salmoniformes; Salmonidae
Description: lncRNA (ENSSSAG00000108817.1)
Rfam family: UnaL2 LINE 3' element (bases 3395-3448)
Source: RNAcentral